This 481-nucleotide ribosomal RNA is filed under the name uncultured bacterium. RNAcentral's name for it is "partial 16S ribosomal RNA". It matches the Rfam family "Bacterial small subunit ribosomal RNA", at positions 28 to 507 of the family's 1533-position model. The record is from RNAcentral.
GAUGAACGCUGGCGGCGUGCUUAACACAUGCAAGUCGAACGAAGCACUUUAUUUGAUUUCCUUCGGGACUGAUUAUUUUGUGACUGAGUGGCGGACGGGUGAGUAACGCGUGGGUAACCUGCCUUGUACAGGGGGAUAACAGUUGGAAACGGCUGCUAAUACCGCAUAAGCGCACAGCAUCGCAUGAUGCAGUGUGAAAAACUCCGGUGGUAUAAGAUGGACCCGCGUUGGAUUAGCUAGUUGGUGAGGUAACGGCCCACCAAGGCGACGAUCCAUAGCCGACCUGAGAGGGUGACCGGCCACAUUGGGACUGAGACACGGCCCAAACUCCUACGGGAGGCAGCAGUGGGGAAUAUUGCACAAUGGGCGAAAGCCUGAUGCAGCGACGCCGCGUGAGCGAAGAAGUAUUUCGGUAUGUAAAGCUCUAUGAGCAGGUAAGAUAAUGACGGUACCUGACGAAGAAGCACCGGCUAAAUACGUG